Long non-coding RNA from Etheostoma cragini (Arkansas darter), 282 nucleotides. RefSeq lists it as uncharacterized. NCBI's taxonomy places the organism in Eukaryota, Metazoa, Chordata, Actinopteri, Perciformes, Percidae. The transcript has 4 exons. The record is from RefSeq and is a predicted model, not a curated record.
CUGUGUGUGGUCACUAUGGUUUCCUGUGAUGUCAUCCCCAGGCCAAACAGCUGUUUCCAGAGGGGGAGGCGAAGAGGGCGGGACCCGAGGCUGCCGUCAAGAGGUCCAGAGCUGCUGAUGAAGACUACAGUCAGAGAGGAAGCCCCCCCCCCAAGAAGAGAAGAGCUCGUCCUGCAGCUGCAGCCUCCUCUGAUCGACCUCACACCUUCUCCACUCAAGUUAAGGUGAAGUCUGAGCCUGUGAAGAAAGACGGACCGAAGGUGAGUCAGCACAUCACACAUG